GACGAACGCUGGCGGCGUGCUUAACACAUGCAAGUCGAACGGAAAGGCCCUGCUUUUGUGGGGUGCUCGAGUGGCGAACGGGUGAGUAACACGUGAGUAACCUGCCCUUGACUUUGGGAUAACUUCAGGAAACUGGGGCUAAUACCGGAUAGGAGCUCCUGCUGCAUGGUGGGGGUUGGAAAGUUUCGGCGGUUGGGGAUGGACGCGCGGCUUAUCAGCUUGUUGGUGGGGUAGUGGCUUACCAAGGCUUUGACGGGUAGCCGGCCUGAGAGGGUGACCGGCCACAUUGGGACUGAGAUACGGCCCAGACUCCUACGGGAGGCAGCAGUGGGGAAUAUGGCACAAUGGGCGGAAGCCUGAUGCAGCAACGCCGCGUGCGGGAUGCCGGCCUUCGGGUUGUAAACCGCUUUCGCCUGUGACGAAGCGUGAGUGACGGUAAUGGGUAAAGAAGCACCGGCUAACUACGUG
This 468-nucleotide ribosomal RNA is filed under the name uncultured bacterium. RNAcentral describes it as "partial 16S ribosomal RNA". It matches the Rfam family "Bacterial small subunit ribosomal RNA", at positions 28 to 507 of the family's 1533-position model. The record is from RNAcentral.